RNAcentral lists this transfer RNA (74 nucleotides) under Deltaproteobacteria bacterium. RNAcentral's name for it is "tRNA-Gln". It matches the Rfam family "tRNA". Rfam says of the family: Transfer RNA (tRNA) molecules are approximately 80 nucleotides in length. Their secondary structure includes four short double-helical elements and three loops (D, anti-codon, and T loops). Further hydrogen bonds mediate the characteristic L-shaped molecular structure. tRNAs have two regions of fundamental functional importance: the anti-codon, which is responsible for specific mRNA codon recognition, and the 3' end, to which the tRNAs corresponding amino acid is attached (by aminoacyl-tRNA synthetases). tRNAs cope with the degeneracy of the genetic code in two manners: having more than one tRNA (with a specific anti-codon) for a particular amino acid; and 'wobble' base-pairing, i.e. permitting non-standard base-pairing at the 3rd anti-codon position. The record is from RNAcentral. Lineage: Bacteria; Pseudomonadati; Myxococcota; Myxococcia.
UGGGGAAUCGUCUAACGGCAGGACGACUGGCUCUGACCCAGUUAAUCUAGGUUCGAAUCCUAGUUCCCCAACCA